AUGUCUGUGAAGAUGCGGACUACCUGCACCUGGACAGAAAGACCCUAUGAAGCUUCACUGUUCCCUGGGAUUGGCUUUGGGCUUUUCCUGCGCAGCUUAGGUGGAAGGCAAAGAAGGCCCCCUUCCGGGGGGGCUCGAGCCAUCAGGGCAGAGAACCCUCCCACCCCGGAGGGUGGGUUCUGCCCCUACGGGGACGGAGCAAAAGCCCUACGGGGACGGAGCAAAAGCCCUACGGGGACGGAGCAAAAGCCCUACGGGGACGGAGCAAAAGAAGUUUAUAGAAUAGAGGGUCACGGCGAGACGAGCCGUUUUUCAUUAACCAUAGGUGUCAAGGGGAAGUGCAGUAAUGUAUGCAGCUGA
Non-coding RNA from Vicia faba (fava bean), 360 nucleotides. NCBI's taxonomy places the organism in Eukaryota, Viridiplantae, Streptophyta, Magnoliopsida, Fabales, Fabaceae. The record is from the annotation of a GenBank genome assembly.